AACGAACGCUGGCGGCAGGCUUAACACAUGCAAGUCGAACGAGCUGGGGUCUUCGGUCCCCGAUGCUAGUGGCGCACGGGUGAGUAACACGUGGGAAUAUGCCCUUUAGUACGGAAUAACCAAGGGAAACUUUGGCUAAUCCCGUAUACGCCCUUCGGGUGAAAGAUUUAUCGCUAAAGGAUUAGCCCGCGUCUCAUUAGGUAGUUGGUGAGGCAAUGGCUCAUCAAGCCGACGAUCAGUAGCUGGGCUGAGAGGAUGAUCAGCCACACUGGAACUGAGAAACGGCCCAGACUCCUACGAGAGGAAGGAAUGGGGGAUAUUGGACAAUGGGGGCAACCAUGAUCCAGCCAGGCCGCGUGAGUGAAGAAGGCCUUCGGGAUGUAAAGCUCUUUCGACGGGGACGAUGAUGACGGUACCCGUAUAAGAAGCCCCGGCAAACUUCGUG
RNAcentral lists this ribosomal RNA (445 nucleotides) under uncultured bacterium. RNAcentral describes it as "partial 16S ribosomal RNA". It matches the Rfam family "Bacterial small subunit ribosomal RNA", at positions 29 to 507 of the family's 1533-position model. The record is from RNAcentral.